UACGACUACAUAUCAGGCAUAUCAAUAAGCGGAGGAAAAGAAACUAACAAGGAUUCCCUUAGUAACGGCGAGUGAAGCGGGAAGAGCUCAAAUUUGAAAUCUUCAAGGUUUUACCUUGACGAAUUGUAGUUUAAAGAAGUGUUUUCUGUUGGAAUUUUCGGUAAAAGUUCUUUGGAAUAGGACAUCAUAAGAGGGUGAGAAUCCCGUAUUUGACCAUUAUCUUCCAGCUUUGUGAUACACUUUCGAAGAGUCGGAUUGUUUGGGAAUGCAGUCCCAAAAUGGGUGGUAAAUUUCAUCUAAAGCUAAAUAUUGGCGAGAGACCGAUAGCGAACAAGUACCGUGAGGGAAAGAUGAAAAGAACUUUGAAAAGAGAGUUAAACAGUACGUGAAAUUGUCAAAAGGGAAGCGUUUGACACCAGUGUUGUUUUCUCGAAAAUCAAUUAAAAAUGACCUGAUUUUGUGUUGUAUUGACUUUAUACAGCUUUCUUCACUUUUUUCAUUGUCUUUUUUAAUGCACUUUUCGUUUAACAAGUCAACAUCAAUUUCUUUUGUUGUAAAAGGGUCAUUGGAAGGUGGCUUUCACUUCGGUGAAAGUGUUUAUAGCCUUUGACUUCUGCAAUCGGAGAGAUUGAGGUCUGCAGCGUAGAUCCUUCGGAGUUAGAUACAUUUGUGCUAAGUUAUAGUUUUUCAUAGACAACAUGUUGACUAUGAUUAAUCAUGUAGCUUACUCGCUUAUGCUAUUUUACCUACGCUUAGGAUGUUGACGCGCGUGUGUGCGUG
This 780-nucleotide ribosomal RNA is filed under the name uncultured Neocallimastigales. RNAcentral's name for it is "partial large subunit ribosomal RNA". It matches the Rfam family "Eukaryotic large subunit ribosomal RNA", at positions 24 to 634 of the family's 3401-position model. Lineage: Eukaryota; Fungi; Neocallimastigomycota; Neocallimastigomycetes; Neocallimastigales. The record is from RNAcentral.